RNAcentral lists this ribosomal RNA (468 nucleotides) under uncultured Alphaproteobacteria bacterium. Its description in RNAcentral is "partial 16S ribosomal RNA". Lineage: Bacteria; Pseudomonadati; Pseudomonadota; Alphaproteobacteria. The record is from RNAcentral.
GUACCGCGGCUGCUGGCACGGAGUUAGCCGGGGCUUCUUCUGGUGUUACCGUCAUUAUCGUCGCACCUGAAAGAGCUUUACAACCCGAAGGCCUUCAUCACUCACGCGGCAUGGCUGGAUCAGGCUUUCGCCCAUUGUCCAAUAUUCCUCACUGCUGCCUCCCGUAGGAGUCUGGGCCGUGUCUCAGUCCCAGUGUGGCUGAUCAUCCUCUCAGACCAGCUACUGAUCGUAGCCUUGGUGAGCCGUUACCUCACCAACUAGCUAAUCAGACGCGGGCCGCUCCUUCAGCGAUAAAUCUUUGGUCCGAAGACAUUAUACGGUAUUAGCGUCAGUUUCCCGACGUUGUUCCGUACUGAAGGGCACGUUCCCACGCGUUACUCACCCGUGCGCCACUCUGUAUUGCUACAGCGUUCGACUUGCAUGUGUUAGGCCUGCCGCCAGCGUUCGUUCUGAGCCAGGAUCAAACUC